Long non-coding RNA from Solanum dulcamara, 673 nucleotides. RefSeq lists it as uncharacterized. NCBI's taxonomy places the organism in Eukaryota, Viridiplantae, Streptophyta, Magnoliopsida, Solanales, Solanaceae. The record is from RefSeq and is a predicted model, not a curated record. The transcript has 3 exons.
UUUCGUUCUCAACAUUGUUAACUCAGGUGACCAUUGAAGACCAUCCACAUCUUCCUGGGAAACAUGCUUCUGUGCAUCCUUGCCGACACGGGGCUGUGAUGAAGAAAAUUAUUGAUGUUUUGAUGUUGAGAGGAGUUGAACCCGAAGUUGACAAGUAUCUUUUCCUGUUCUUGAAGUUUGUGGCUUCGGUCAUUCCAACAAUUGAAUAUGAUUAUACCAUGGACUUUGAUCUUGGUAGCAGUAGCACCUGAUUUGCAGUCAACUUCCUUCGAUAGAUGCUGCACAUAACAUGUCAAGUCAGUCAAAUACUCUGAUGAUGAUGCCUAUGUUGGUGUGACGAGCAAUAAUUGUACAGUGUUUAUAGACGUUGUUCUAGAAAUGUGAAGCAUGCAUGAUGAAUUAUCAGCAUGCCUUGUUUAUUUUGUAUAUUAACAAGAAUUUAGGUCAUUCAAGUUAGCACGAUCCACUUGAAGGCUGAAAUUGUGUAUUAAUGAAAGUUAACCGGAUGAAAGCUACAAAAAUGAUAAGUGAUGGUGUUUUGUUUUCUGUAUCAAAUGUCUAGGGUUUGCACUAAAUCUCCAUUUUACUAUUCCUCUUCAUGUUUCAACAAGGUUGUUUUAAUAAAAUUAGUGUCUGAAAUUAGAUACUUAGGUGAAAGCCAUUGCAAAUUCUA